Molecule: long non-coding RNA, 8601 nt
Organism: Apis mellifera (honey bee)
Lineage: Eukaryota; Metazoa; Arthropoda; Insecta; Hymenoptera; Apidae
Exons: 5
Source: RefSeq, a predicted model, not a curated record
GACAAAACAUCAAGAAACACGUAAGUACUUUAUUAAGCGUGAUACUAUAAGGACAGAUGAAUGGUUUCCGCUCUGACGCGUUUACUUAUAAUUUUUUCAUCUUUUUUUCGGCAACGGCUUAAGUAACUUUUUCGUUAACUAACAACCCUUGCAAUUCUUGUUUUUAUGUUCGUUAAAUUUAAAGAUGCGCGUAUCUUUUUACACAAUUAUUAUCACCAACUGUUUUUCCUUUCCGUUAAAAUUUAACGUAUAAUUGUAACUAUUAUCUCUACUUUGCAAUUUCUUUUGAUACGCGAAACUAUUCAUCUAUUUAUAAUUAACUUCGAUAUCCGUAGAUCUGAAUAGGCAUAGAGCUGUAAUAAUAAUCGACUCGCAUUAAGAAGGUGAUGGUUAUGAACGUUUGAUAGCGUAUGGAAUCACUGAACGAGCGCAAAAGUGACUAUAAUUUGAGGCUUCGAACACAAAUGUGUAUUUAUUCAACUCACCGAAACGAUAAACAACGAUCUUUCUUAUCCUUGAGCUUAUUUUUAAUUGUUACAAAUUACAAUUAGAUAUAGAAUAUUAAAAAAGGAUAUAUAAUGAUAAAAAAUUAACAGCUUGCCUAGGGAAAUACGUGAAAAAGUCGAUUACCGCGGUUGAAUCGGGAGGUUCAAGUCUUUCUUGGCGUAUCGUGUCGCUAUGCAGAAGUUGAGUUCGAACGUACGCACAAUUACAUGGAUCAUAAAUUACACGGUAGCGUAUAAUUAUGUAACGUAGAUUAUAGAUAGAUUAUAGAUUCCAGCAUCGACAGGCCACAAUGAAUGGCCUCUAUCCGGUGCCUAUCCACGGAAUUUUUCAAAUUUUACGCAUAAUGACGAGCACGACACGAUUCCCGGUAAGUAUCAUUUAUCCGCAAUGAUCCUUCGAGGGACGAAACAAUGCUCAGUCGGUAACGGAACACCGUCGCGAAAUCUGCUGACACAUCGGUCGCACGAAACGCGAAAUUCGCGUGAGCGUGACAUAGGACACGCUCGAGCGAGCAGCCGUGCACAUACACAUGCAUAUAAAUCACGCUGCACCAUAUAAUCCAGUAGCAUAAAUUGCAUCAUUCGACACUACUAAUUCCCAAUAAACGGUCGUGUAUCCUUAGAUAACCGCGUUUUCAACAUUUUUUCAUUGGCAAUAUGUCUAGUUGGGUGAUCGUGAUUCAUUGGUAAAAAUAUGUGAAACGGGUGAAGUGUAAUUACAUUGAUUAAUUGAGAAAGACAACUUCCCCGCCAUUUUUGUAUUAUUUUCUUUCGCGCCUAAUAUCGAACGAUUAAUCGAAAGAUUAAUCGAACGAUUCAUCGAACGAUUCUAACGUUCGAUUAACAUGGCGGGUUUCGAUAGUUUGUACCAAGUCGCGUUACAUGGCGUUGCUUUGCGUCUCGUCGCAUCAUAUAAUUACGGAAUAUAAAGUUUUUCUGUACAAAAUUGUGAAAAAAAAAGUUUUAUAGUUGUUAAGAGUGUGUAAAAAUUAAGAUAGAAGAUAUUCAAGAAUUUCACCGCAGUAAAUUUAUCGAGAAAAUGUUGUUAAUAGUUUUCUUACGGGUGAGGCUGAGACAAUAAAUCUCCAUGAUUGCAAUCAUUUUCGUCGAAGGGGUAAAAUUAUCAUUUUAAAUUUUAACAAGCUCGAAAAUUUUUAAAUAUUCGAAUGUUCAAACGAUGUAUAAUAGUUAAUACGAUAUGUGAUAAUACGAUUUGAUAGAAAGAGAAAAAUUGUUAUUGGAAUAUUAUCAAAUUCAUAAUAGACUAUGUAUAUAAUACAUAGUGUGCGUGACCAAUGAGAAUAGAGACUUCUAUCGUAUAUUUAUUCAGUUCCUUAUUGUCCCGCCGUUUAAACCAUGAGAUCAGAUAACUUUAACCUUCGCGAACCAGUUACAACACGUGUCCUCGGGCCAUUUUCGCGGGUUAAUGUUUCUACCAUGAGUUACAUACAGAUUGUCGACAAAUAAUUUAGAAUCAGGCAAUCAUUUAAUAAUGUAUCGGCGGUGUGGUAGUGCCAAUGAAAAAUCAGCAUUGCUCAGCCACCAAUGAUAAGGCUUCACGUGAGCGUGACAUCGGUUGCCGCGACAGAAGCACGCUUCACUGCGCAGAUUGGUGCGCACCGUGUUCGCUAGCGACGCCAAGAAGAAUUUUUCGUGAUUCGGGUGAAUGAACGAAGAAUUGUGUGCUGCACAAGGAAAUACAGUUUUAUCGAUAGUUAACGCGAAAGAAGACGGAGAAAGUGUUUGGUGCAGAGAGAAUCAGUUCGUGAAAGCAACAAGAGAAAUAUACACGUUACAAAUAUCGACGGGCAUAACGAGCAAUACGUAAGAUGAAUAUGCAGAAGAAUGGAAGUCGAAGCUACAAGAAAACAAGGAUUUGAACGAGAUGGGGAAAGUAGAGGUUAUGAGUAAAUACUACAGAGAUAGAAGAAAGCAAAACAACAAUACCAGAGCGAAUGGGAGCGAACAAAGGAGGAGAACAACACCAGUAAAAAAGAAACCGCGAGGAAUUCAAUUCUCUCCAACCAACCAAACAUCUCAAUUCGCUUGCUUUCGUGGUGUAUCGUCACGAAGCAAGGUGUGGAGCGAAAAGCGUCAUUUACCAUCGUCACACAAGCCUCUGCACACGAGCCUUUCCCACGAGGCCAGGGCACCGAUGUCGCCGAUUCCUCGCCGAGGAAUCCUCCUUCUCCCUCUACUGCUAAAUUGUUCGUCGUUAAAGCCGAUUUUUCGAGAACGAAAUGAAGAGGGGGCGAGGAAAAGUGGAAAGAAAUAUGGAAGGAGGAGGAGGAGGAGGAGGAGGGAAAAGAAAAAAAGGAAAAAAGAGAAAGGGAUGCGAAUUUUUGCCGUCCCCCCUUUCGACUUGGCUAACGGUCCAACAAGUACACAGCCGCGGAUUUAUCCUUCCAACCUCCCCCCUUCCCUCGGCUAUCUUUCCCUUCUUGCUGCGAGGUGAUAACCACACGUCCAUGUCUUCGGGAAUCUUCGUGGCAGAUAAGCUCGAUCGAGGAAUUGUUUUUGGAUUAGAAUGUAGAUUGAAUUUUAUUAGAAUCAAGAAUGAAUUUUUCAUCAGACGUAGAUUUUUGCUAAGAAUUAAACACGAAGAGAAUUCGUCCUCGAAGAAUAUUAGGAAAAAGGGGAAGACGAAACGUUCCAAUCUUCAUAUAUUCAUAAAUUAUUGCUCACUUAAUAUCGAAGGAACGAAGGAAUGAAAUUUCGCUCUAUCCAAUAAUACGAACGCUUUAAUAUUUCAACAAGUUGCAAAGAGAAGGUAAAAUAAAAAUAUCGAAAGCGAAUUACACCACGGCUAAUUGAAAACUUUAUUCGUUCAACAUUGUUACGCAAUUUAAUUUCACGAUCGUUUUCGCACGAAGAAGAGACUCGAGGCGGAAGUGCUCCGUCCCCAAAGAAAUAUUCGAAACAAAAAUAUUCAUAGAGGACAGGAAGAGGAGAGAGAGAGAGAGAGGGAGAGAGAGGGAGAUGUAAAAAGAAAAAUGGUCUCGGUAAGUAGCGAGCGCCGCGACAAUACCCGGCGGGAGUGCUUUUACCUCGCGGCUCUUUUUAACCCCUUCGUUUUCAUUCACCGGAAACGGUGCGGCUAUUAUUGGCAUUGUGGCGGCACAAGGAAACUCGGCCAACCCCCGUCGCCUUCUCCAGCCUCUCUCCCGGCGGGUUAACGAUCGUGUUAUUAGCGCAAAUCAAAAUUGGCGACUGUCUCACGGCACGAACGAGGAGCGAGGAGCAGGAGGGGAAGAGAGAAAAAAGAAAAAUAAUAAUAAGGCGCGAGUCCAAUUUAACCGUGGAAGCGCUGCACGCGUUAAUUUGCGUAUCGAAAUCAAAUUCACGCCCCGAAACGAUCGUUCUAAUAAUUCGUGAAUGGUAUAUAUUUUUUGGCUUCUUCUUGUUGCGAAUGCGGUCGUUGAAAUUAUAUCUCUCACCUUGAACGUCAUCUCUGAUGAUGUUUAAUCGUGAAAUUGGAUCAUUAUGAUUAAUCUUAUCGAUCUUGUUAUAUCGUUUAUGAAUAUAAUUUAUCUUACAUUUCAGAACGAGAAUGAAAAUUUGUUGGAUACUUUUUAUUUAAAAUUGAUGUAUCAUUUUUCAGAUAAGUAUAAAGUAGGAAUUAUUUUAUAAAAGUUUUUCAUCAGAUACAAGCCGUUUUUAAAUUCUGAGUUUCAGUUUUGUCGAUCUUUUCGCAAUUAAAAGAAUAAGCGAGGAGGAAAGUAAUUAAUACAAAUUCGAUACAAAUUUGUCUUCAAAAACACUAUCUCAACUCAACGUUUGCCGCACGUAGAACGAAUUCUCGUUUCUUUAUUUGCAGCGUUCAUUUGCAACGUUGGCCUGAAACAAAUCGAUACUCCGGAGGGCGAAGAAGCAUCGCGUGACAAGGAAUGGGGGUUAACUCCUUUGAUCCUUUGUCGUUGCGUUACUCGCGGGAAACGGAGUAACUGACAAGUUAAACACGGAUAUCCGUUAAUCCCUUCUUAUUAUGCUUUCGCGUGAUUCCCCGCAAACGUUUUCGAUUCUCCUCCAGUCCGAAGAAGAAGGCUCUUCCUCCGAGGAGUCGUGCGACCGCCCGUAAACGUCAUUUUCGCGAGUCCUUGCAUUCUCGUGUAUAGCCUUUCUCGUGUAUAAUCUCGUACACGUGGAUUAUUUGCUGCGUGGAGAAAUAUUUCACCGCGAAUAAGCAAACAAAAAGGGCGAUAAUAAACAAUUGUGAAUCAACGUCUUCCUGUCAAGAUUACGAGUUCUACGAGUACUUUCGUUCCCAGACUACAAUAAAUUUUUAGAAGAAAUUUCAUCAUCGAGGGAUCCUCGAAAUCGAAUUAUCAUCCAGUGUCAAUUCCUUUCCUCUAAUUAUUUUUCCUCGAUCUCCGUUCUCGCAAGAAGCAAGCAAGAAACAGGUUUCUCGAUUUUCAGAGAGGACGUCUCUUCCUUUUUUCCCUUCUUUGCCUUCUCUCCCCACAUUGUAAUAUUUCAAUCGCGCCGCCCUGCAGUAGCGAGUAGCACACGGUUAAUUAGCACGCUGUAAAGCACACCGGUAAUACAAUUUAUAUAUAUAUAUACGCGUAUGCCCCUGCUGGAUUAUUAUCGGUCCAAGUUCAGGUCCGAUAAAGCCGAGCCGUGAAAGUCGUCCUCGGUUAUCCGCCCGCCGCGUUAAUUGCUAUAUUUUCGCGAUCCGAGGCGAGGGAUCGCGAUAACCACGCCGGUCACCGAUACCGGUCGAUCCAUCGGAAGCCAGGGGAUCGCCCCCUACCCCUUCGCCGGCCACGCGAUUCCAAUUUAUGCGCCCGGUUUUCUCCAACGAUCUCCAAUUCCUUCUUUUACCUUAGGCGCAGCGAGAGAUUAAAGUGGAGGAAAUGCGUGGAGGAAAAGAGAUCCCACCACGGUUCGGAAAACACGCGUGAUGAUAUGAAUUCUUGAGGAGGAGGAGGAGGGAAUUAAUAAAAUUCCUUUCCAACAGGAAAUUAUACCGAUCUCUUAAUUAUUCCUGCUAAUCGGGAAAAUUUAUAUAACGAUAUAUAUUCCGUGUUUAUCACGAAUCCCGUAUUUACACGUUAUUGGCAAUUUGGUUAAAGGCAAGCUUCAUUAAUUGAAGUAAUAAACGCGAGGGGGAAAAAAUUUAAGAUAAGAUAGUGCAGCAGUGUAAACAGAGCGAGUCGGAGAUUUUAUUCCUACGCUGCGAAAAACCACCCUCGACAAAACGUCGAGAAAACGUCGCAACUGGAGACGAUCUCCUCCCCUGAUCCUGUUAUCGAGCAACGACAACGACGACCGAGCAACUCCCUUGCUUGCGCAAGCGCGGCGUCCAAAGCCGAGGAACAGUUAAUCUUAAUACGGCUUUAUAGCUCCAUUAAGAGUCGGCGGGGAUCACGAGAGGUGCUCUCGCCGCCUCUCGUCUCUCCUUCGGGGCAACGAUUAUCCCGCGGCUCUCGUGACUCCGUGUUGAUCGCCCUUUCCAGAGACUAAUUGUCGAUUAAACGGUGGCCGCUUGCGAGAUACCUGGCGAGGCCGCCGGGAUCCUCUCUCGCCUGUGUGUUUCCAUCUCGUCUUUUACGUGCCCCUGCACACUGAUCGCGUAUUUAUUUUCGCGGACACUUUUCCUCUGCGAUUCCUCUUUCUUUUCUUUUCUUUCUUUUUGCCUCGGAUCGAACGCGAGCCCUCGGAUCGAACGGGGUCGCCCUUCUUCGCCCCUCGAGUCGUGAGAAUCGUUGCAAGAGAAACGUGCAUUUAUAAAGCUCUUAUAAAGAAUGGAGAGCUGUGAUAGAACGCAAGUUUGAUGAGGAUCGAAAAUGAUUCGUAUCAUUUCACCAGAUAAGAUUAUUGAAAGUUAAAAGAAGCUCUGAAAGUUUAGCAGCUCCGAAUAGAGAGCUGUGAACACAAAUUUUGUUUGAUGAGAAUCGAAAAGUAGAAAAUGAUUGAUUCGUAUUGUUUCAUCAGAUAAGAUGUAUUAUUUGAAGGUUAAAAGAAGCUCUGAAGAUUUAGCUCCGAAUGAAGAGCUGUGACGGAACACAAGUUUGAUGAGGAGAAAUAGAAAAUGAUUUCACCAGAUAAGAUUAUUAUUUGGAGGAAAAAUUAAAAGAAGCUCGGAAGAUUUAGCAGCUUCGAAUGAAGAGCUGUAAACGCAAGUUUGAGGAUCAAAAAAUAGAAAAUGAUUCGUAUCGUUUCACCAGAUAAGAUGUAUUAUUUGAAGGUUAAAAGAAGCUUUGAAGAUUUAGCAACUCCGAAUGGAAGUUUUGUUUAACGAAGAUCAAAAAAUAAAAAAUGAUUGCUUCAUAUCGUUUCACCAAAUAAGAUAUAUUAUUUGGAGGGAAGGUUAAAAGAAGCUUCGAAUGGAGAGCUGUGAACGCAAAUUUUGUUUGACGAGGAUCGAAAAAUAAAAAAAUGAUUGGUUCGUAUCGUUUCACCAGAUAAGAUGUAUUAUUUGGAGGAAAGGAACGAGCUCUUCUUAGGAGAAACUCGAAUAGAACGUAGGAACGAAAUAUAUUUAGAAGAGUAAAUGGCAAGGAGAAGUAAAAUUUUGAUGGCUGUUAACGUCGUUUCGAAAGAGAUCAUAGACCAGGUGUUGGGCAUAUUUAGAAGGAUGUACACGCGCAUAUAUAUAUAUACAGGGAGUAACCUGUAGGUUAUUUGGGGGAUGGUCAGGGGAUAGUGUCCAGAAAGCGAAGGAAGGGAGGAAGAAGGUAGAAGCGUUUGGAGCGGUCACCCGUUCGUCGAGGGUCAUCCACUGGCUCUCCUCUCGCUUAGCAUAAAAGGGUAACUAGCAAAUGCUCAAUGCGCCAUACCAUAAUGGAACGAGUGUCCCAUGGACAUAAUUAGGCGAGCCACCCAUGGGAAAUUCAGAUCCCCGUUUCGGUUUUGCGCCGGCUAGGCAAUAAGCUGGGCAAGGGUCAUCGUUGCCCGGCCGGACAAGGUAGGCACAUAGGAGGAUAUUUCCACGACGGGGCUUUCAACCUCGUGCGAGGAUCGUAUGUUAUAGCGCGUCGAAUAAAGUAAAAUAUUCGAUUUCGCUAAUAAUUCUUCAUUGCGUAAUGCAAUGAAUAUGUGUCCCGUAUAACCGUGUAAGUUAUUGAACACUCGGGGAAGAUUUAAAAUUAUGAUGUAUCGAUGAUUGGAGAGGUUGCAUGCGUUAUAUGAAAGUAAGGUUUUUUUUCUUCCUUUUCUUUUUCUUUUUUUUUUUUUUUUCUCAAAGAGAAGAGCUCUUCGAUUACCAAUAGCCAGGAAAUGCAUACGUCAAAGUAUUUUAAUGAUUUAAAAUCUUAUUAAGGAAGAGAGGGAGAGAGAGAGAGAAAGAGUUUUACGUUAUCAGAGAGGAAUUUCUAACGCACGAUUUAUCACGGUUUCCUCGUCGCCCGAUCUGUAAUUAAUUUUCUUGGUCGACGACAAAUUUUUUACAAUCGUUUUACUUUUGAGAUUGAAAAAAGAAUUUGAAAUCCAUGGAAACGAGCACAGGUCGAAGAAAAAAUUUUUUAUCACGUUGGAUUGGCAAAAUCGCGCGCCACUGUCGAAUCGUACGGAUAAUAUUCCGAACUGAAGGAAGGAGUUUAAGGCGGAAGUGAAAAGCACGCAUCGUCCGGGAUCGUCGAUAACUUUUUAUCACGGGGAAUUUCAAUUUUCCGCUUCUGUUUCGCUCGGUUAUCGUGGGAAAACUCGUAGGCACGUAGUGAAAAUACCACUUGGACGAACCUCGAAUCGUUUAUCCAACCGAGUCAUCGAGUGUCGAUCAAUAAUACAUGAACAUCGACAAGGGGAAUUUCAAAUCGAGUGGAUCAUCUUUGAGAUUCCACGAAGAUACGUUGUUUCUAAAUUUCGAUCGUGAUAAACACGAUCCUCUUUAAUUUUCAAUUACAUUCUCUUAAUAAAUCCUCCUCAACAUUAGAAGACAUCGAUUAUCAGAAUCGUUCUUCGUUCCAAGAACGAGACAAGUCGCGAGACAAAAAAUUCUCUUUUUAUUUUCAUUCCAAGUUUCUUCUCUCGUCACGAGAUGCGAAAAGAUAGAGAGGCCGUGUCCUAGAGACGGACCGUAAAACGAGAAACAAGAACGAGAUUUCCGAAAGUCUUUCGAUCGUUGGCGGAGGAUCGACAGUUGACAUCAAGA